RNAcentral lists this transfer RNA (74 nucleotides) under Rhodococcus phage Trina. Its description in RNAcentral is "tRNA-Leu". It matches the Rfam family "tRNA". Rfam says of the family: Transfer RNA (tRNA) molecules are approximately 80 nucleotides in length. The record is from RNAcentral. Lineage: Duplodnaviria; Heunggongvirae; Uroviricota; Caudoviricetes.
GUUCCUAUAGCCCAAUGGCAGAGGCAGCAGACUUAAAAUCUGUCAAGUGUCGGUUCGAGUCCGACUAGGAAUAC